RNAcentral lists this ribosomal RNA (608 nucleotides) under Candida albicans. RNAcentral's name for it is "eukaryotic LSU rRNA". It matches the Rfam family "Eukaryotic large subunit ribosomal RNA", at positions 34 to 657 of the family's 3401-position model. Lineage: Eukaryota; Fungi; Ascomycota; Pichiomycetes; Serinales; Debaryomycetaceae. The record is from RNAcentral.
UUAAGCAUAUCAAUAAGCGGAGGAAAAGAAACCAACAGGGAUUGCCUCAGUAGCGGCGAGUGAAGCGGCAAAAGCUCAAAUUUGAAAUCUGGCGUCUUUGGCGUCCGAGUUGUAAUUUGAAGAAGGUAUCUUUGGGCCCGGCUCUUGUCUAUGUUCCUUGGAACAGGACGUCACAGAGGGUGAGAAUCCCGUGCGAUGAGAUGACCCGGGUCUGUGUAAAGUUCCUUCGACGAGUCGAGUUGUUUGGGAAUGCAGCUCUAAGUGGGUGGUAAAUUCCAUCUAAAGCUAAAUAUUGGCGAGAGACCGAUAGCGAACAAGUACAGUGAUGGAAAGAUGAAAAGAACUUUGAAAAGAGAGUGAAAAAGUACGUGAAAUUGUUGAAAGGGAAGGGCUUGAGAUCAGACUUGGUAUUUUGCAUGCUGCUCUCUCGGGGGCGGCCGCUGCGGUUUACCGGGCCAGCAUCGGUUUGGAGCGGCAGGAUAAUGGCGGAGGAAUGUGGCACGGCUUCUGCUGUGUGUUAUAGCCUCUGACGAUACUGCCAGCCUAGACCGAGGACUGCGGUUUUUACCUAGGAUGUUGGCAUAAUGAUCUUAAGUCGCCCGUCUUGA